Non-coding RNA from Peromyscus maniculatus bairdii (prairie deer mouse), 1140 nucleotides. Lineage: Eukaryota; Metazoa; Chordata; Mammalia; Rodentia; Cricetidae. The record is from RefSeq and is a predicted model, not a curated record.
UUCCUGCAGGGAGUUAAAAACAGGAAAUAAAAAUAAGUAAGAUUUAAAAAAAUAAUAAUAAUAAUCCUAGCAGCCCUUAAGGGUUUGCAUCAUGGGGUGAACUAGCCAAGGUAUUGCUGGAGAGCUCACGUGGGUGGUGAGGAGGAGGAAAAGCUGGCAGGCUGACCAACCCAGGCCCAGAACCAGGGCUGGGAGUUGGCCCACCCCAGCAUCCACCUCAUCUAUGAACUGCUGGAGCAUGCGAAGGAGCUGGACCUGCAGAUUCAAAGCUACAGGAUCUCCAUGGCACACGGCAACAACAGGAUCUCCAAGAGGAGUCCCAGUGAGGGUCCAGGAUCAAGGGUGUAGCAGAAGCCAGAGGCCUCAAACCGGAGUCAUUGCAAGGAACACUUACAGGGCUUCCGACUCACUAGUCUGGAGCCAACAUCCAUCCGGCUCCUGACCUAGCGCCUGUCCUUCUCAAGUGUGGCACCCCGCUCUCUGGAGUAACUGGAUGCAGGGGCUCUGGGGUGGCUCUGGACAACCUGUGCCACGCUAAAGGAAACUGAUUUCGGAGCCUAAAUCCAGCCCACACCUCUUCCCUGGCCGGACAGAAGGAAGCUGGUAUCUCCACGAGGCCUCAGGCCACUCUCGCCAAGCAUAAUGCACAGUUUCACCAACUAGCUUCUUUUCCCUGUUCUCCUGUGGUUGCGGACUGGGUCAUAUCUAUGAAAAGGACAGCAGCAAGUCUCAGGUGGAUUGGCUCAGCUAGCUCUUCUCUAGUGGGCACAAAAACACUGGCUUCAGUCCUCAGCAUGCCACCCACGAUCCGAGGAGAGAUGGCACAUCCCUGUGAUCCCAGCUCUGAAGAAAUGGAAGCAAAAGGAUCAGAUCUUCAAGGGUUUGCACGACUCUAACUAAAGCAACCCCACCCCACACUGGUGUAACCAUCACCUGAAGAUUUGGUUUGCUUCAGACAGUGAGUACAUGACCUAUUCCAACCAAUGAUGUGGAGCAACGCAAUGAACGCAUUUAUCCAGCUGGAACAGAAGCUGCACGUCCUGAGCAGGUGGGCAAACCCACCGCACCUCCUGAAAGGAGUCUGGAUGGCACACUCUGCACGCGUUACUACUGACGGUGACGCCUGCCGCCAUUGUGAAG